GGAGGGCGGGGCUGAGGCGCCUGCGCGGGGCACAACCCUCCUAGAGGCGGGACGGUUUCCUGCCAAUCACUGCUGGCUUGCCCUCCCCCUGGCGUUGGCCCGGCUGACUCGGGGUGGGGGAGGUCGGGGAGGGGGCGAUAAAAUGGCGCAGGGGGCGGAGUGAGGCGCAGUCGUUCGCCCAGGCUUUGGCCCGGCUUCCGGAGGAAGGUGGGAGUCAAUCAUUUUGACAAGUCUCCUGAAAGGAACAGCUAGCAGGAACUGAAACCUUUUUCCAUUUGGUCUCGUGGCAAAGGCAGAGAUUGCUCCAGCAGCUCCACACAAAAUGAUGUGCUCACGGGUGCCCUCUGAACAGUCUUCUGGUACCUCUCUCUUGCCUAAAGACAGUGCCCCAUUUUCUUGGGGUUCCUUGGAUGAGGAUGGAUUGGAUGACUCCUUGCUGGAGCUGUCAGAGGGAGAAGAAGAUGAUGGUGAUGUAAGUUACACAGAGGAAGAGAUUGAUGCACUGUUGAAGGAAGAUGACCCAUCAUAUGAGCAGUCUUCUGGGGAAGACGACGGUGGGCAUGUUGAGAAGGGAGAAAGAGGGAGUCAAAUUCUACUUGAUACUCCCCAAGAGAAAAAUUCAUCGUACAGCCUGGGACCAGUAGCUGAGACUCCUAACCUCUUCAAACUACCUCAGCUAAGUACAUCAAGUGGUCAUGGACCAGCUCAUACUAAACCAUUAAACAGACGCUCUGUACUAGAAAAGAAUCUUAUAAAAGUUACUGUUGCACCAUUUAAUCCAACAGUUUGUGAUGUUCUGCUUGAUAAGGACGAGACUGAUUCAUCCAAAGAGACUGAAAAACUCUCUUCCCUUGGAGAAGAGAUGACAGAAGAUGGUCUUAGCCCAAAUGAAAGCAAACUUUGUACUGAAUCCGAAGGGAUCAGCCCCAGUAAUUCUGCCUGGGAUGGGCCCCAGCUCUCUUCUUCAAACAAUAACUUUCAACAAACUGUCUCUGAUAAAAAUAUGCCUGACAGUGAGAACCCUACGUCUGUAUUCUCUCGGAUCUCAGACCAUUCAGAGAGUCCUUCUAAUAUGGAGUUAUCCUGUAGAAAUGGUGGUUCACACAAGUCAAGUUGUGAAAUGAGAUCUCUGGUUGUUUCCAGCUCAUCAAACAAACAGGAUGUUCUUAACAAGGAUUCUGGGAAGAUGAAAGGCCAUGAGAGAAGACUAGGCAAAGUCAUUCCUGUUCUACAAACCAAGACCAGGACUAAUGUUCCGACGUUUUCACAAUCAAAUCUAGAACAGCAGAAGCAGCUUUAUCUCAGGAGUGUCAUUGCUCAUAUAGAAGACCCAGAGGACACUAACCAAGACAAAAAAUACUGGAAACAGCUUUGAUAAAAUGUUGAUAAAUGAAGGUGAGUGGAUGAAUCCCUAGAAGUGGAAUUGCUGGGCGUGGUGGCUCAUUCCUGUAACCCCAGCACUUUGGGAGGCCGAGGCAGGUGGAUCAUCUGAGGUCAGGAAUUCGAGACCAGCCUAACAUGAAACCUGUCUCUACUAAAAAUAUAAAAAUUAGCUGGGCGUGGUCGUGGGCGCCUGUAACCCCAGCUGCUUGGGAGGCUGAGGCAGGAGAAUCUCUUGAACCCAAGAGGCAGAAGUUGUAGUGAGCGAAGAUCACGCCAUUGCACUCCAGCCUGGGCAACAAGCAAAAUUACAUCUCAAGAAAAAAAUGUUCAUUUUCUAAAUAUAUAAUUUCUUCUACAGUUAUUAACUAGCAUUCUUUUAUAAAGGUUUUCUAUUAAUUUAGUAUUACUAUAACCUCAUGGAUUUUUUUAAAGAAUCAGUGUGUUGUAAUCAAUUAUAGCUACUGUUCUUUUUUUCUUUUUGAUGCUCAGUUUGUCUCAAAUAUGAUAAAUGGGAGCUCCUUCAAGAUGACUCUUGUUCCUAUUGACAUGAUCCCAUUAAUCUUUUUUUAAUUGUGGUAAAAAAAAAAUACAUCUAACAUAAAAUUACUAUCUUAACCAUUUUUAAGUGCACAAUUCAGUAAUGUUACAUAUAUUCACAUUGUGAAACAUAUCUCCAGAACCUCUUCAUCUUGCAAAUCUAAAACUCUACACAACAGUUCCCCUCUCUCCCUUCAGUCUCUGGUAACCACUAUUCUACUUUCUUUUUUUUUUUUAAUAUGACUACUUUAGAUACCUUUUAUAAGUGGAAUCAUACAAUAUUUAUCUUUUUGUGACUGGCUUAUUUCGUUUAGUAUAAUGUCUUCAAGGUUUACCCGUUGUGGCAUGUGACAGGAUUUCCUUCCUUUUUAAAUAUUUUUAUUUUUAUUUUUUUUUCUAUUUUUCUCACCACUCAAUUUCCUUCCUUUUUAAGGCUGAAUAAUAUUCCAUUGUAUAUAUACACACCAUUUUGUUUAAUCCAUUCAUCUGUCAGUGGACAUUUGGGUUGCUUCCACUUCUUGGCUAUUGUGAAUUGUGCCACUAUGAACAUGGGUCUACAGAUAGUCUCUUUAAGACCCUAUUUUUAAUUCUUCUGGAUAUAUAUGCAGAAGUGGGAUUGCUGGACCAUAUGGUAGGUCUGUUUUUAAUUUUUUGAGAAACUUCUUACUGUUUUUCACAGCAGUUGCACCAUUUUGCAGUCCUACCAGCAGUGCACAAGAGUUCUAAUUUUUCCCCAUCCUUGCCAGCACUUAUUUUUUUGUGCUUUUUUUUUUUUUUUUUUUUUCCUUGAGGCUGGAGUCUCGCUCUGUCGCCCAGGCUGGAGUGCAGUCUUGGCUCACUGCAUCCCCUGCCUCCCACAUUCAAGCGAUUCUCGUGCCUCAGCCUCCCAAGUAGCUGGGACUACAGGUGCACUCCACCACAUCUGGCUAAUUUUUGUAUUUUAGUAGAGAUGGGGUUUUGCCAUGUUGGUCAGGCUGGUCUUGAACUCCUGAGCUCAAGUGAUCUCCCCAUCUCGGCCUCCCAAAGUGCUGGGAUUGCAGGUGUGAGCCACUGUGCCUGGCUUGUGUUUUUGUUUUUGUUUUUUUUUUACAGUAGCUAUCCUAAAGGGUGUUAAAUCAGUAUUCAUUGUUUUUGUGUCACAACUAAGUAUUGUUCACUGAAAAGCCAAGUAGUAUAUUAUGGCUUCAUUUUCUUUCUUGAAUUGUUUAUUUUUGUAGAGUUGUUAAUUGCUUCAGUUUCUUUCAUUAAAUUUUUUUUUCGGGAGAGCUUUUUCCUAGAGCCUUCUGUUCUGCUGCUCCAAUUUGCACUGCUUGUUCUUUAGCCCUGCAACAGAGCUGUCAUCCCAGGAUUUUCCUCUGCUGCCCUCCUGGGUUGAAUCCUGUUUCUUGGAUCGUAUAUCUUCCUCUUUCUUAUUUUUGGUUUUAGGAGAGGACAUCCUCUGAGAAUAUCUAAGAAAGGGUGCGUAGAUGUUUUCUUUGUCUCUACAUGUCUGAACAUGUCUUUAUUCUAUUCUCAUACUUGAUGGAUAGUUUGAUAUAGAAUUCUACAUUUAAAAUCAAUUUUUGCUCAGAAAUUUGAAGACAUGGCCAGGCACAGUGGCUCACGCCUGUAAUCCCAGCACUUUGGGAGGCUGAGGCAGGCGGAUCCCAAGGUCAGGAGUUUUAGACCAGUCUGGCCAAUAUGGUGAAACCCCAUCUCUACUAAAAAAAAAAACAUACAAAAAUUAGCCGGGUGUGGUGGUGGGCGCCUAUAGUCCAGCCUGGGCAACAGAGCCAGACUCUGUCUCAAAAAAAAAAAAAAGAAAUUUGAAGACAUUCAGUAUUGCUCUUAAGAAGUCUGUUAUCAAUUUAACUUUUAUUUCUUUGUGUGUGAUCUGUCUUUUUCUCUCUGGAAGUUCUUUUUGUUUGUUUGUUUGUUUGUUUUUUUGAGACAGUCUCGUUCUGUUGCCCAGGCUGGUGUGCAGUGGCAUAAUCUGAGCUCACCACAACCUCCACCUCCCAGGUUCAAGCAGUUCUCCUGCCUCAGCCUCCCAGCUGGGAUUAUAGGCACCCGCCACCUGCCUGUAAUCCCAGCUACUCGGGAGGCUGAGGCAGGAGAAUCACUUGAACCCGGGAGGUGGAGGUUGUGGUAAGCCGAGGUCGCGCCAUUGCCCUCCAGCCUGGGCAACAAAAGCAAAACUCCGUCUCAAAAAAAAAAAAAAAGAUAAUAAGCAUAUUGGACUAAAAACUUUUUUUGUGCACCUUUGUAAUUCCUCCCUUCUGCCCGUCUCUGCCCCCUCUAAUCCCCAGGCAAGAUUGACCACUGAUCUAGUGUCUACUGCAGUUAGUUUGCAUUUUCUAAAGUGAUGGAAUCAUACACUAUGUACUCUUUUGAGUCUGGCUUGUCUCAACAUAAUUAUUUUGAAAUUCAUCCAUGUUGCAUGCUUAUUUUUUUUAUUGCUGAGUAGUAUUCUAUUAUAUAGAUUUAUCCCUAAGUGAAUGUUUACCCAUUCACUUAGAUGGGCAUUUGGCGUACGUUCAAUUUUUGGCUAUUACAGAUAAAGCUGUUAGGAACAUUCUUGCACAAAUCUUUGUGUAUAUAUAGAUAUGCUUUUAUUUUUCUUAAGUAAAUAUCUAGAGUGAAAUGACUGGGUCAUAUGGCAGGUGUGUGUUUAACUUUUUAAGAAACUGCCAAACUGUUCCCAAGUAGUUGUACCAUUUUUUAUUUCUAUUAGCAGUUGUGUGAAUUCCGGUUGCCCCCAGCCUUACCAACAAUUGGGUAUGGUCACUAUUUUAAAUGUUUUUCCCCAACUUUUUAAUUGUAAAAUACACAUAAUAUACACAUAACCAUCUUUUUUAAACAUUUUUAUAAAAACGUGUUGGCUGGGUGCAGUGGCUCACGCCUGUAAUCCCAGCACUUUGGGAGGCUGGGGUGGGCAGGUCACCUGAGGUCAGGAGUUCAAGACCAACCUGGCCAACGUGGUGAAACCCCGUCUCUACUAAAAAUACGAAAAUUAACUAGGCAUGGUGGCGGGUGCCUGCAAUCCCAGCUACUCUGGAGGCUGAGGCAGGAGAAUCGCUGGAACCCAGGAGGCAGAGGUUGCAGUGAGCUGAGAUCAUCCAUUGCACUUCAGCCUGGGCGACAAGAGCGAAACUCCGUCUCAAAAAAAAAAAAAAAAAAGUUGUAAGUGUACAUUUCAGUGGUAUUAAGUAUAUUCAUAUUGUUGUAAGCCAUCACCAUAUCCAUUUCAAUAAUUUCUUGGUCUUGCACAUCUGAAGCUUUGUUUUUUAUUUUUUUAAAGAUGGAGGUCUUGCUAAAUUUCCCAGGCUAGGCUCAAACGCCUAGGCUUAAGCAGUCCUCCUCCUCAGCCUCCCGAGUGUCUGAGACUACAGGCACACAUCGCUGCACCCACUACAAAUCCAAAGCUCUAUACCCAUUAAACAAUAACUCCCCAUUCCCAUCUCCCUUGAGCCCCUGACAACCAUCAUUCCACUUUAUGUGUUUAUGAAUUUGACUACUCUAGGUACUUUCACAUAAGUGGAGUCAGACAAAGUGGUAUUUGUCUUUUCGUGACUGGCUUAUUUCACUUAGCAUAAUGUCCUCAAGGUUCGUGUUUGUUGUAGCAUGUGUCAGAAUCUCCUUCCUUUUUAAGACUUAAUAAUAUUAUAGUGUAUGGAUACCACAUUUUGAUUAUCCAUUUAUACAUCAAUGGACACUUGGUUUGCUUCCACCUUUUAGCUUUGUGAAUAAUGCCGCUAUGCAUAUGCAUCUACAAAUAUCUUUUUGAGACCCUGCUUGCAAUUCUUACAUACCAAGAAGAGAAGAGGAAUUGCUAGAUCAUAUGCUAAUUCUAUUUUUAUUUUUUUAUUUUUAUUUUUGGCAUGGAGUCUAGCUCUGUCACCCAGGCUGGAGUGCAGUGGCACAACCAUAGUGCAGUACAGCCUCAAACUCCUGGCAUCAGUCUCCUAAAUGAGGUUAAACUACAGGUGCACACCACCAUGCCUGGCUAAUUUCUUUUUAUUUUUAGAGACGGGGUCUCAUUGUGUUGCUCAGGCUGGUUGUGAACUCAGACUAUCCUCCCACCCCAGCCUCUUGAGCAACCGGGAUUAUAGGUGCAUACCACUGCACCCAGACUAUUUUCUUCUUUCUUUUUUUUUUUUUUUUUUUUUAAUUCUUCAGCUAAAACAGCGGCAGAGGUGAUUUAUUAUAUGGUUGUUACACUCGGCCACAAACACAGAAAUAGUCCAGAAUGUCACAGGUCCAGGGCAGAGGACCAACAUGGGCAUUUUGUUUAUGAGCAAGAUGGGUUUCAGAGGUGAUUGGCGAUCAGAGGGCGAUGAAGUUCUAGAUCCAUUGAGACAAGCUCUAGACAGUAGCAUGCAGUCCCACAGCUUGUACCAGCAUCCCCAGCGUCUGGCAUUCCAUGUUUCUGUUCCUGUGGCCUCCACGGUGCAACAAGCUAGCAGUUUACUUGGACCUCUGCCUCAUCUUUCUUCUUUUGCUCUUCAGCCUGAGCAUUCGCUUCUUCCUCCACUUGGCUCUCAUGGCGCAGAGGUUUCCAAGAAAAUGGCGCUAAGGCUGAGAAAAGACUAUUUUCUUUUACUUAUUUAUUUGUUUUUUUAAGACAGGGUCUCUGUCACUGAGGUUGGAGUACAGUGGUGUGAUCUUGAUUCACUGCAAAUUCUGUCUCCCAGGCUCAAGCAAUCCUCCCACCUCAGCCUCCCGAGUAGCUGGGACUACAGGCUCACCACCACACCUGACUGAUUUUUUGUUUUGUUUUGUUUUUUUUUGAGAUGGAGUCUUGCUCUGUUGCUCAGGCUGGAGUGCAGCAGUGCAAUCUCAGCUCACUGCAACCUCUGCCUCCCAGGUUCAAGCGAUUCUCCUGUCUCAGCCUCCUGAGUAGCUGGGAUAACAGGUGUGCAUCCACCACACCCGGCUAAUUUUUGUAUUUUUAGUAGAGAUGGGGUUUCACCAUAUUGGCCAGGCUGGUCUUGAACUCCUGACCUCAAGUGAUCCGCCCACCUUGGCCUCCCAAAGCACUGGGAUUACAGGCUUGAGCCACCGCACUCGGCCUAAUUUUUUGUAUUUUUGGUAGAGACUGUGUUUUACCAUGCCACCGCACCUGGCCCCCUAUUUUCUGUUUGUUUGUUUGUUUGUUUUAUUUUGAGGCAGAGUCUUGCUCUGUUGCCCAAGCUGGAAUGCAAUGGCGUGAUCUUGGCUUGCUACAACCUCCCCCUCCUGGGUUCAAGCAAUUCUCCCCGCCUCACCCUCCCAAGUAGCUGGGAUUACAGGCACCCACCACCACACCUGGCUAAUUUUUGUAUUUUUAGUAGAGACAGGGUUUUGCCAUGUUGGCUACGCUGGUUUCGAACUCUUGACCUCAGGUGAUCCGCCUGCCUCAGCCUCCCAAAGUAUUGGAUUACAGGUGUGAGCCACCAUGCCCGACCUCUUUUCUAUUUUUCAAUGGGAGUCAUCCUAAUGGGUGUAAAGUGGUCAGUUUUUAUAAUUUUAGACAUUCUAAUAUAUGUGUAGUGAUAUCUCGUUGUAGUUUUCAUUUGCGUUUUCCUAAUGAGUAAUAAUAUUGAGCAUCUUUUCAUGUGCUUAUUUGCCAUCUGUAUAUCUUCUUUGGUGAAGUAUUUUUUGCUCAUUUAAAAAAUUGGAUUAUUUUCGGCCGGGCGCAGUGGCUCAAGCCUGUAAUCCCAGCACUUUGGGAGGCCGAGGCGGGCAGAUCACGAGGUCAGGAGAUCGAGACUGUCCUGGCUAACACGGUGGAACCCCGUCUCUACUAAAAAUACAAAAAAAUUAGCUGGGCGUGGUGACGGGCGCCUGUAGUCCCAGCUACUCGGGAGGCUGAGGCAGGAGUAUGGCGUGAACCUGGGAGGUGGAGCUUGCAGCGAGCCGAGAUUGCGCCACUGCACUCCAGCCUGGGCGACAGAGCAAGACUCCGUCUCAAAAAAAAAAAAAAAAUUUGGAUUAUUUUCUUAUUACUGGGUUUCGAGAGUUCUUUAAAUACAUAUUCCGAAUGCAAGUUUCUUUGCCAGAUAAGUAAUUUGGAAAUAUUUUCUCCCAGUAUAUGCCUUGUCUUUUCAUUCCCAUAAGUGUCUUCUAAAGAACAGAAUUCUUAGUUUUGAUGAAGUAAGUUUGUUUAUUUUUAUUUAUUUAUUUUUCUUGGUAGUCACUGGUUAUAGCAGAUGAAGUAAGUUUAAUCAGGUUUUUAAAAAUUUUAUGGGUCAGGAGCAGUGGCUCACACCUGUAAUCCUGGCACUUUGGCAGGCCGAGGCAGGCAGAUCACCUGAGGUCGGGAGUUCGAGACCAGCCUGACCAACAUGGAGAAAGCCCAUCUCUACUAAAAAUACAAAAUUAGCCGGGCGUAGUGGCGCAUGCCUGUAAUCCCAGCUACUCGGGAGGCUGAGGCAGGAGAAUUGCUUGAACCCGGAAAGUGGAGGUUGCGGUGGGCCAAGAUAGCGCCAUUGCACUCCAGCCUGGGCAACAAGAGCAAAACUCUGUCUCAAAAAAAAAAAAAAAAAAAAAAAUUACGGAUUAUGCUUUCAUGUGGUAUCUAAGAAGUCUUUGCCUAAAAGAAAAGGCCACAAAAAUUUUCUCCUAUGUUUUUUUCUAGAGGUUUUAUAGCUUUAGGGAUCACAUUUAGAUCUAUGAUCCUUUUAAAAUUUAUUCUGUAUGUUGUGCAAGAUAUGGAUUAAAGCCUGUAAUCCCAGCACUUUGGGAGGCUCAGGUGGGAAGAUUGCUUGAGCCCAAGAGUUCGAGACCAGCCUGGGCAAUGUGGUGAAACCUUGCCUCUACCAAAAAAAAUUAAAAGGUUAGCCAGGCGUGGUGACACACACCUGUAGUCUUAGCUACUCAGAAGGCUAAGGCAGGAGGAUUGCUUGAGCCCAGAAGAGGGAGGUUGCAUUGAUGCACCACUGCACUCCAGCCUGGGUGACAGAGUGUAAGACUGUCUCAAAAA
This is an RNA transcript of Symphalangus syndactylus (siamang), 8863 nucleotides long. It is a transcript of the gene named S100P binding protein, with no coding region annotated. Lineage: Eukaryota; Metazoa; Chordata; Mammalia; Primates; Hylobatidae. The record is from RefSeq and is a predicted model, not a curated record.